RNAcentral lists this long non-coding RNA (15228 nucleotides) under Hordeum vulgare. RNAcentral describes it as "long non-coding RNA (HVUL_LNC001532)". Lineage: Eukaryota; Viridiplantae; Streptophyta; Magnoliopsida; Poales; Poaceae. The record is from RNAcentral.
CGAUCUCGCCGGGAGGGCGAUCGGGAAGGACCUUGUGAGCAACCCGGACCUGGUGUCCACAGACGCGGUGGUGUCCUUCAGAACGGCCAUUUGGUUCUGGAUGACGGCGCAAGGCAACAAGCCGUCGAGCCACGACGUCGCCCUAGGCCGCUGGACGCCGACGGCUGCCGAUACAGCUGCAGGUCGGGUGCCUGGAUACGGCGUAAUCACCAAUAUCAUCAACGGCGGGCUCGAGUGCGGCAUGGGCCAGAACGACGCCAACGUCGACCGCAUCGGCUACUACACGCGCUACUGCGGCAUGCUUGGCACGGCCACCGGAGGCAACCUCGACUGCUACACCCAGCGAAACUUCGCUAGCUAGACACUAUGGAUAGUGUAUGCACGUGUUACGAAUAAAGGGCUACACUCAUGAAUAAGGGGCAACACAUAUCCCAUCAUGAAAUAAAUAAUUCGAUAUGUGAUCCAGUUGAUCGUGUCGUAUGAUAAUACGAGUAAGUUGUUGUAACAAAUUAUGUAAAUUGUUCAAUAAAAUCAUAUCAUUACAACUGGUUUUUUAAAUAUGGUACACUAAAAAUAAUCCACAUACACGAGUAUACACUCAUCUCUAUAAAGAUACGCAUGCAUAUCCUAUUCUAUCCAUAUGAGCACCUUCGAAAGACUGGCCCAACACAUCAUCUUGAUAUUGACAAAGUCAUCACAUAUACCUUCAUAGUCGACGGAAAUGUCUCUUCUCACUAAACGCACAUGGUUGAAAACCAGAAAUAAAUGAAGAAAAAUAGGAACACUAAUGUCAUGUAUGGACUUGAACUCUAGUGAAUAUACAUAUCACUCUCUUUCUAACCAUCAAAGCACAGAUUGGUAUCAUUGUUUUAUUUUGUUGUAUGUGAGAGGAUGUAUAGCAGACCAACUAACGUGACAAAUAUUUUACUUGUUUAAUCAGUUCUUCAUAACAAAAAGGAAAGAAAAGUCAGGAUUUAUGAAAUGAAUGAGGCUAACGCGUGUUUCGUUGCAUCGGUCUUCACUCGUUUUUUUAGAAAAGGAGGAUGAUCCCCGGCCUCUGCAUCUGGAAGAUGCAUGCGGUCAUUUUAUUGAUUAUUCUCGAGGACCUUACAAAGCAGUACAACAAUAUGCCUGAAUCCGCCAUCUUGGCAACAUCUGCCGCUACUCCUAUCCAUAUGAUGAAGGGGUGCAAGCUGGACCAAAUACCCAGACCUCUCACCUAAGCCUAACAUCUAAAGCCGGAUACCCUGACCGAGCCACAUACCGGGUCCGGGGCACAAACCGGUCCGACGCACUCACAUGUGUCGUCGCCGCCAUCUUCCAUUGCUCCAUCUUCAGAUCAGAUUGAGGUACCAGCCUUGGCAGGUGCCUCCUCCAUCGACGCCAUCAUGAUGCCAAACGACGACAUCCACCAACGCGAGUCCAUCUCCAAGCAACUGACGAAGAUCCAUGCUAGGAUAGGGCCGCAUCACCGCCGUCGCCCACCACCCACAAGCGCCACCCAGCCCCAAGGUUCCCAAAGCGACGCCUUCAAGAAGGGAACGGCGCCGUGAGCGCCGCCGCCGCCCAACAAAGUUAGGGCUUUCGCCGGGAGACCUAGGGGAAGGGGAAGUGAGGGGAUCAGUCCAUACCAACGCCUCCAAGGAGGGGAACGACGCCCUCGGGCGUCGCCGUCGACGCGGCCGGCCAUGGCCGACCAGGGAUUUCGCCCGACCUAGAUCCCCACCACCAGCAGCACCUCCUGUACAAAACCGGCAAUCCAAGGAAGCGCGGCCCGACCAGGCUGGCCCACACGCCGAACAGGGAAGGAGGGGAGGCGCUAGAUCGCGCGCACCGGCCACCGCAAAAGCCGCCACCAGACGUCAGCGACCACCGGAUCCCGCCGCCCGCGUGGCCGAGACGCCGGAUCCACCUCCCGCACGGCUGCUAGCCUACCGUGCCUCGCCAAUGAAGCCGCCGUUCCAGAUCCGGAACUCCACAUGCAGAGGCAGGGUAACCUAGGCCCCGCCGCCACCAUCCUUGGCGCCCCGGGCUUGCCCGGCGGCUGCCUCAGGCGGCGGCGAGGAAGGGAUGGGGAGGGGGAGGCGGCUAGGGUUGGGAUGGAGGGAGCGUGGGAUUAACUUUAUAUAUAUAUCAGUUUACUGCAGACAGUUGUUUGAUUUUGGCUUUAUCAGUUGUCUUGAGUUUUAGUUAUAUUUUGGUGGUGGUUUUUUCCUUUCAUAUAUUUUGUUGGCUUUUGUUGAAAAUGAUUUUUUUAGAUGAGAUUAGAGUUGUUCGAUGUGGGGUUUUGGGGUCUUCAAACCUUUCGGCCUUGGAGUCAGCCGAGGAUGGUUUCAUGAGCCCUUUGGGAGCUCUCAUUCCAUACUAAAAUUGUAGAAUCGCUCCUAAGAGCAUCUCUAAUAGGGCAGCCUCUUUUCAAUUAUAGGGCAGGCAAAAUCGAGAUAUAGGACAGCAAAACAACAGUCGUUUUACCAGCAGCCCAAGAUAGGGCAGCACCCGCCCCAGCAGCCACUACUAAGAAAAGGGCUAUAGAUGAUAUAGAUAUUAAUGCCGCACCACACAAGCCGUGCGCCACUACUAUAUAAUAAUGGCGUACCAUGUGAGGUGUGCCAUUAGUGUGGUGGAUAUUAAUGGCGCACCACACUCUCGGUGCGCCACUACUAUAUAUAUAUAUAUAUAUAUUUUUGCAAAACUACUAAUGGUGCACCAGCACCUGGUGCGCCAUUAGUAACCUGGUUACUAAUGGCACAUAUGUUAGUAGUGCGCCACUACUAUAAAAAAAAUUGGUUUUUUUUUGCAAACUACAAAUGGCGCACCAAAGCUAGUGCGUCAUUAGUAAGCAGUGUUACUAAUGGCGCAUCUAUUGGUGGUGCACCACUACUAUUUUUUUUACAGAACUACUAAUGGUGCACCAGAGGAGGUGCGUCAUUAGUAACCAGGGUUACUAAUGGCGCAUAUGUAGGUGGUGCGCCAUUAGUAACCUGGGACCAGCUAGAUAUUUUGGACAACCACCUACCACACUCACUUUCCCCACUUUCAUUCUCUCCACCUCCUCCUCCAAGCUUGUCUCAGGUGCCUCCUCCUCCUCACCUCAUUUGCAUCAUAGAUUCACCCAAAUUAAGUGGUUAAAUUACCUUUUUUUGAUAGGUAAGUAAGGGGAAAGCUUUUAUGUUGUAGAUCUACUUUUUUCUCCCUCCAACAACGUGCACAUGCACUUUUUAUGGCCUAGCUAGAUCUACGUAUGUUUGUUGUGUUGCAUAUGUUUGUGGUGUUGCAUAUUUGUUUGUGUUUGCAGGUACCGGUAUUUGAAAUGCGAUAGUUGCCAAUAUUUUCCCGGAAUGUUGAUUCAUUUCCGUUUCGGUGAGAAUUUGGCACUAUGCAUUCUUUUUUGUCCUAUUUUUAGGCAAAGUCAUGCCAAAAAAAAAUUUUGGUUAUAAAAUAUCAUUUUGCUUUACCCCGCACGCGACCAUGGUCCGCACGAUGACCGAAGGCAUCGUGAAUAGGUUUUUGAGCUCCGCGAAGGCCGAGAUGCUUCAAAAGAACGAGACGAAGAUAAGAUGUCCGUGUCGAAGAUGCAAGCUGAAGAGCCUUAUGGACCCGGAUUCCGUAAAGGUGCGGGACCACCUGCUCUUGCGUGGUUUCAUGGAUGGCUAUCGGUGGCAAGGUGAUGAAGAUGAUUAUGAAGUCGUCCAUGGGGGCCGGGAAAGAAAUGAGGAAGGGCAUGAGCAAGACAACCGCGGCGAGGGCGGGCGAGAAGACGAAGAAUCUCCAGGACACAGUCAUCAUGUAGAAGAUGCCGGACAUGAUGAUGAGGAAGAUGCCGGAGCAGACGAAGGGCAUGAUCAUGAAGAUGAAGAUGCCGGAGCAGACGACGAUGGACCAUCCAUGCCCUGGGUGCAGGACCCUCAUAUUCAAGAGCUGCUUCUCAAGCAGACGGAUAACGCAAGAGCUGCCGCCCGAGAGAAAGCCAAGCUGGAUCAACUUGAGAUAGACGCGGUUACUCCAUUGUAUGAAGGAUGCAGGCCCGAGGAUACCCGCCUGAAAGUAAUGCUCAUGGCUCUGGAGAUGAAGGUAAAACACAAAAUGACCGACGCAUGCUUCGACGAGAACAUGUCAUUCUGGCACGAACGUCUUCCCAAGGGGAACAACUGCCCGACCAGUUUCGAGGAGGCAAAGAAAAUCGUGUGUCCUCUGGAUUUACCGCACGUGAAAUACCAUGUGUGCAUGAACAAUUGCAUCAUUUAUCGGGACGAGCACGCGGAGUCUACCAUAUGUCCGGUGUGCAGCGUCAGUCGAUACAAGAAGAGGAAGAAAGCUCCUCAAAAAGUGGUGUGGUACUUUCAUAUCACUCCUCGUCUGCAACGGUAUUUCGCGGACCCUAAGGUAGCAAAGCUCCUGCGUUGGCACGCGGAUAGGGAGGAGAAAAAGCGAGAAGAUGACGGAAAUGAUCCGGAGAUAAAUAAAAAAGACAAGAUGCUGAGUCACCCUAAGGAUGCGAGCCAGUGGCAAGCGUUGAACUACGAAUACCCAGAAUUUGGGGACGAUCCAGGGAACAUCGUGCUGGGCGCGAGCACCGAUGGAGUCAAUCCGUUUGGCAGCCAGAAAAUCACACAUAGCACCUGGCCUGUGUUUGUGUGGAUGUACAACCUUCCCCCUGGUUGUGCACGAAGAGGAAGUACAUUCACAUGAGUAUGCUAAUUGAAGGGCCUAAACAACCAGGGAACGACAUCAAUCUAUAUCUGGGGCUGUUGAAAGAGGAGCUAGACACGCUGUGGAAAACGCGAGCCAAUACGUGGGACGCCGCAGAGAAAGAAUAUUUCCCUAUGAGAGCCGCACUGCUCCCGACGGUGCACGACUAUCUCGGUUAUGGAUAUGUCGCGGGGCAGGUGGUCCACGGGUUUUCUGGAUGCGUCAGGUGCAUGGAUGACACAAUGUAUCGCCAGCUAGAUAGAGAUCCCGGGUCUUCAAAAACCGUGUUCAUGGGACCUCGAAGGUGGCUUCGCAACGAUGACACAUGGAGAAAACGCAAGGAUCUGUUCGAUGGUGAAACCGAACCCCGAAGACGCCCCCUUAUGAGGAGCGGCGAGGAAAUAUACGAGCUGUUGAAAAAUUGGAAAAAGUGCCCACCGCCGGGAAAGGCGCUAGAGCCGGGAAAGAAGCGAAAGGCGCUAGAGCCGCUCCUGAAGGUAUGGAAAACGAGGUCUGUUUUCUGGGACUUGCCGUACUGGAAGAUCCUCCGUGUGCCUCACAGCCUUGAUGUCAUGCAUAUCAUGAAGAACGUGUGCAAGAGUCUGCUUGGUACCCUGCUCAACAUGCCAGAGAGGACCAAAGAUGGACCGAAAGCAAGGGCAGACUUGAAAUCAAUGGGCAUCAGGGAGGAGCUUCAUGCUAAUAAUGAUGAUGAUGAUGAUGAUGAGGCGAAGCAGGACACGGAAAGUCGUCGCAAAGGCAAAAAGUACAAGAAGACCGGAAAUGACUUUCCUCCCGCGUGCUUCACUCUAAGUCAGGAGGAGAUCGAUCAGUUUUUCACCUGCCUCAUAGGAGUAAAACUUCCUUACGGUUACGCGGGGAAGAUAAGCAGAUACCUAGACUCAGCGAAGCAGAAGUUUAGCGGGAUGAAGUAUCACAACUGUCACGUGCUGAUGACGCAGAUACUUCCAGUUGCAAUCCGUGGGAUCAUGGACGCGCACGUCCGUGAAAUGCUUUUUGACCUAUGCAACUUUUUCGACGUCAUCUCUCGGAAGUCGGUUGGCGUGAGGCAACUCAGAAGGCUACAGGAAGAGAUCGUGGUGAUACUAUGCGAGCUUGAGAUGUACUUCCCGCCCGCAUUCUUCGACGUUAUGGUGCAUCUGCUGGUCCAUAUCGUGGAGGAUAUCAUCCAACUCGGGCCGACGUUCCUGCACAUCAUGAUGCCGUUCGAAAGGAUGAAUGGUGUCAUCAAAGGAUACGUCCGCAACAUGUCACGUCCAGAGGGAAGCAUAGCCAGGGGCUUUCUGACCGAAGAGUGCAUCUCCUACUGCACGAAUUAUCUAGGCAUCGAGAACCUCGUUGGUCUGCCCGUCAACAGGCACCUCGGCAGGCUCGCAGGAUGGGGUCACCGUGAGGGUCGCCGCGAAAUGCAUGUCGACUUCGAGGGUCGACUCGCCGACUUUGAAAGAGCAAACCUAGUCGCGCUACAACACAUAGACGUGGUCGAUCCUUGGGUCGUAGAGCACAAAACCUUUAUUGAAAAGACGUACAAUGACCGAGGCCAACAGAGGACGGACGGAGAUAUAAUCAAAGAGCACAACUCAUGUUUAACGCGUUGGUUCAAGCAGAAGCUUUUGUCGUAGCCUUUACAUGAGGAUUCUUCCGCGGAAGAACAACUCAUAUUCGCCUUGUCACAGGGCGCCGAGCACAACCUGAUGAUGUAUGAGGCGUACGAUACCAACAGCUACACAUUCUACACCGAGGGAAAGGACAUGAAGAGCGAUGGUUAUCAGAACUCCGGGGUAACGAUGGAAUCCUACACCGGUAACGACAAGGACAGAUACUACGGAAGGAUCGAGGAGAUCUGGGAGCUGAGCUGCGCUGGAGAGAAGGUCCCGAUGUUCCGUGUCAGAUGGGCCAAGAGCGUCAUAAAAGAAGACCGGUAUUUCACCACCAUGGUUAUACCCGAAGCCAAAUCCAAGACCGCGGGCGCAAAAGUCACCGCGAAAAAUGAGCCAUGGGUACUGGCUUCCCAAGUGGACCAAUGCUUCUUCAUUACCGACCCGCCAAAGCCCAGUCGUGUUGUCGUGAGGAGAGGCAAAAGGAAGAUCAUCGGAAUGGAUGGAGUCGCCAAUGAGCAAGACUUCGACAAGUACGGCGACCCGAAGAUGGAACAUGACGACGAUGAUGAAGUACCAGCAUACACCACAAGAAGAAGCAGGACCACCCUACCUAAAGGACGUCCGUUCAAGAGAAGAACUCCAUUUACGAAAAAUAAGGGCAAGAAGAUUGUGAACAAAUAGCUAGCUAAGAUCGAUUAUAUUUAAAUUUGAUGAUAUUUUUUCAUAUUCAAUAUGAAAAAAUAUUGAAUAUUCAUGAGGACACUCGAUCUCGAUCCCCUCCAUCUCGAUCGCUAUCACCCCUCGCAAGAUCCCCCUCGCCGCCGAGCACCCCCCGCACCCUCCCCCGCUCCACCACCGUCGCCGUCGGCAUACUUACCACUAGAACACCUAUUCAGAAGAUACUAGGCACUUCUCAAAAAAAUACUAGGCACUUCUCAAACCAAGGUGCAACCAGCACAAGAAAACAAUGCAAAAAAAAUAAAAAUACUAGGCACUAGAUGUUGUUGUGAGGCACUAGAUAUUCAUAGGCAUCUAAUUGCAAACAUAAAAAAAAAUACUAGACAUCUACUUGCAAACAUAAAAAAAUUUACUAGGCACUUCUCAAACCAAGGUGCAACCAGCACAAGAAAACAAUGCAUAGAAAAAAAGGAAAAAAGAGAGGGGGGAAGAGGAUUCGAACCCGCAACCUCCUGCUAGGAGGCAAAACCCACGGACCACUGUGCUGCUACUUCGGAGGUUAACAACAUAGAGAAGGCGCACCUCAUAUACAUGCGCCAUUACUACAUAAAAAAACAUUCUAAUGGCGCACCGCUCGGGGUGCGCCAUUCCUAAGCCGGGCCGCGCCCUCCUCUCUUCUCCCGCGGCCUCCCCCUACCCCUUUCCACCAAACAGCAGCUCCCCCACCUUCGUCCACGCAGCCCACGGAGCUCUGGCGGCGCUAGGGUUUUCUCCGCCUCUGCCUCCGCCUCAGAUAGCCGAGGUGCGAAAUAUUAUCAGCCCCAACACACUCAAGAAGGUGGUCUCUGAGCAGAUGAACUGGAUCCCAUUACAUCAGCAGAAGAAGGGAUGAAAAAGAAAGACUAACAAGGGUGCGAGCCAGCCGGCACUGAGUACGAUCCGUGCUCUGGACGGGCCACCUUCACCUAAGGAUAUCUCGAGGAGGGUGCAUGUGGCGGGUAGGCCGAUGCUACCGACUAAUCUACUCAAUGCUGCAACUGGUGCUAUGCGGAGUCUGCAUGACAGUGUUCUUUGUUUGGAGAAGCGGCGUCUCUCCGAGAAUAAUGUGGCAUACCCGGUUUUCGUGGCCAAGGUGCCAGAGGGCAAGGGCUUUGUCGAUAGGCCAUCGGGGGUAUGAUCGUCCUGCGGUUUGUUGACAUCUUCGCUAUGUUUAACCUUCAUCCGCUGCACUACACCUUCGUUCGGCUAUUUUCGCUGAGUAUGGAGAUGCGGAUCAUUAGAGACAAGACCCCGAACCUAGUGAUAGUCGACCCCUUCUAUAUGCGUGCCAAGAUCUUGGGCAGCGCUGGGGACCGGCAAGUCACGAGUUCAUACCUCGAAGGCGUCAUUCUGGCAAACUCAGAAAAGGAUAACUUCCUCGUGCCUUACUUUCCCUGGUAAGUUAUCCCCUCAUCGCCACGUAACAUAUGAUUUCUUAGAUUUUGAUCGUCCUUUUUUUCUAACAUUCCGUGUUUUGUGCAGUGACACACGUUGCACACUCAUCCUCUUAAGUCUGAAAUAUUCCACGGCCACGUAUUUCGACUCGGACCGUCAGUCAAAAAAAGACUACACAAAUAUCAAGAAAGUUCUUGAUGAAGCUCUUCCCGGCUAUGCCAUAUCUGGAGGCACCUUCAGCAGGACAAGUCUCAGGCACGGCAAGCACGUGUUCACCCACAAUACGACGUUCGCCUGCGUCAAGCAGCCGCCUGGCAGUCAGAAGGAUGCCUACUACGCCCUCCAUCACAUGCGGGCGAUCAUACGGGAUAGUAAUCACCUUCGGCUACCAAAUAAUCUCAAAUAUUGGGCCGCACACUUGUCGGCAAUCCAGGAUGCGGACAUCAGACAAGAAUUCUUUCGCAUCCAGUCGGAGUUUGCAGAAAUCAUCCAUCAAGAUGUCCUUCGUACCUCGGGGCAGUUCUACCUCAGAUCUCCGCUGUCCUAUACUGAGAUAGAUACAAUGCUACAAAUGCAGGCUGACAACGACCGCAAUUUCAUGACCAUCACGAAAGAUGGCGGCUUCAUCCACGUUCCCGUGAAUCGCUACUAAUUCAUGUUGCAAUAUUAAACUUUAAUGAACUGGUAUGUCUCUUUGGUUUGGACAGUCGUUCAACUUAUAUAUAAUCGAUGCUAUUUAUUAGUAGGACCAUGAAUCGUGCUGUUAUAGUUGUAAUAUUAAACUUUAAUGAACUUGUAUGUCUCUGUGAAUUGCUACUAACGUUUUGUUUGGCUAGUGCAUAGAGAUGCCGUCGUAUGUCGUGUACAAGGGUAAGGUUCCCGGAGUCUACGACGACUGGGAGGAGUGUCGGAGACAGGUUCACCGAUUCAGCGGUAACAGUUACAAUGGGUACACCACAAGGGCGGAGGCGGAAGUUAGAUACGCGCGCUAUCUACGGGAGAGAGGAGGGAGCGUUGGAGGAACCGGAUGAAGACCAGUUUCAUUGCGAUUAUGCUCAUCGUGAUGACCGCAUCUCUCUUCUAUAUGUGAUGGUAGUUUAGAUGGUCGAUAUAUCAACUUGUAAUGUGAAGACAAAUUCGCUGCUCGCGGUCUCGAGACUUGUAGUAUUCUAACUUUUUUCGGUAUUUUAAAUUCGGAGACUAAUAUGAUGAAUUGUAUUCGGAGACUAAUCUUCUAUUGUAUUCGAUAAAUCUGUUGUUUAUAUGUUGUGCUAUCCAUAUUCUGUGCAAUAAUAUAUUUUGUAAUAUGUGCAAAUAUCAGAAAAAAUAAAAUAAAUACCUAAUAUUCAUACUAGUGACGCAUCACUCAGCACACUAGUGCGCCAUUAGUAAGCGAGAGCAUAUGGGUAAAUAUGGCCCUGGGAGGCAUACUAAUGGCGCACCACAAGCUAUACUAAUGGCGCACCAGGAUAUAUACUAAUGGCGCACCAGUAUCUAUACUAAUGGCGCACCGUGAGCAAUACUAAUGGCGCACCGUGAGCAAUACUAAUGGCGCACCGUGAGCAAUACUAAUGACGCACCGUGAGCAAUACUAAUGGCGCACUACCUGGUGCGUCAUUAGUAUACCAGAUACUAAUGGCGCACUUGUAAUGCGCCAUUAGUAAAAAAAUCUAAUGGCGUGAUGCUAGUGGCGCACCUAUAGUGCGCCAUUAGUAGCAAAAAAUGGUGCGCCAUUAGAAGGCCUUUUCCUAGUAGUGAGCUGCCCUCCAUGCUUGGGCUUCUUCCUCUUGUGCAAAAGCAAAAUCAAAGCAAUGUCUUCUUCAUCCUCCAAAUCGUAUUCCCCAUCGGAUGAAUCCUCAAUCAAAACCAUCUACAAACAAACUAGACCGUAUUAAAAAGUGUAAUCCUAAACUACAAACACAAAAAGCAAACAAAAAGUUGAAUACACAUUACCUCGAACACCUUGCGGGCGGCCGAACCGGUGGGUGGCAGCUGCGUCGCCGGAGCAAGCCUCUCCUAGUUGCUGCUGCCGUCGCUGGGUGUUGCAGGCGGCCAAGGGGAAGCAUAAGAGCGUCGUCGGGGUCGCGGCGGCGGCAUAAUCGGCGUCGGUGCCCCGGAUUCGUACAGCGGCGGCGGCGGCGGCAGAUCAACAAUUUAGGGCACUAAACCUCUUGCCUACUUGGGCAGCGGUAUUCCGACGACGAUGGGCAGCGGUAUUCCGGCAGGGGCGAGGUGCGGGAGGGACCGGCGGUGGACGGGCAGCGGAUUUUGGGCAGGGGCGCGGCCUACGGGCGGCGGAUUUGCGGCGGCGGCGGCGGAUUUGCACCGGCGGGGUCGAGGGCGGGAGAGGCUGGGAAAUUUUCGGGUGGCAGUUCGGCUGCGCGCGCGCGUCGUUGGGAAAAUAGGGCAGCCACACAAGUGUUGUAUAUUUGCAACAGUUGGACCAAAUUUAGGGCAGUGUUGUAAAAAAUAUAGGGCAGUUGAUGAAGAUAGGGCAGCUGUUGGAGCACGUUUUUGCCUCUUUUCUGCCCUAUAUGACAGUUUUUAUGCCCCACUGCCCUAUAUAGGGCAGCUGUUAGAGAUGCUCUAACACUCACAUAUGACGGUCACUAAACCUCUUGCCCACUUAGGUUGGCUCCCUGCUCAGCUUGCUCGUUUAGCUUUUUUUUCAGCUCGCUCGACUACUAGCUUAGAAAAAAAUACUGUCCUUUUUCUUAUUUAAAAAUGUUCUCUCUUCUGCUUCUUUCCCACGCCCCCUUGCAACCCUGUUCUUUCUUCUUCUUCUUCCCCAAGAAGAAAACAACGACCCUGUCAUGGAGAAAUCCUCAUUGAGACCGGCGGUGAGAGUGCUAAGCAUGAGCUCGUCGGAGAUUUUGGUGUCGAUGUCGCGAAGCUCAUCGGCGAGCAUCUUGAGCCGCAUGCAAUAGUCAACGAUGGUGGAGUCAUCCUGGUGGCACCUGAAGAGCUCUUGUUGCAAGAAAACAAGACACUGAAGCUUGUUAUCGGUGAAGAGCGCAUUGAUCUUGGUCCACACGGUGCAAGUAUCGUCGUCAUCGGUGACGACCGUGUGGAAGAUGUCCUUCAAGAUGGUUUGGUAGAACCACCGAAUGAGAGUGACCUCGAUGGCGGACCACUCCGGGACGCCCUUCAUGUACUCAGCGUCGACGAAGCCAUCUAUGUGUUCGGUGAGGUAGUACUCGCGGAAGACAAGGUUGAAGUAGGUCUUCCACGCGUAGUACGAGGAGGUGGAGGAGUCGAGGCGGAUGGGAACACGGGCAUCGAUGUUGAUGUCGCGGAUGGCUUCGACGAAGGGUGCAGGGCCGGCGAAGGGGUUGGUGCUGGAGGUGGCCGGCGAAUUCAUGGGGCCGGCUGCGGGGGAGAGAUGGCGAGCGGCGGCGGCGGCUCGGGUGGGAGAGGGGUAGCGGAAGCGAUGAGGCGUGCGGCAGCGGCGGCGGCUGCGAUAGGGUUUAGGUUAGGAACUUUUAGGAUGAUACCAUGUAGAGAGAGAUAUGUUUGGCAAUGCAACUCAUAAUAUUGAUUGAAUAUGCACAGAUAUACAGAAUACAAUAUGAACCUCUAUCUCAACUAUACAAAGGCUAGGAGAUAGACCAAACUAUGUACAUAUACACAUGCCCGACCCUAGGGGGGGGGGGGAGGNNNNNNNNNNNNNNNNNNNNNNNNNNNNNNNNNNNNNNNNNNNNNNNNNNNNNNNNNNNNNNNNNNNNNNNNNNNNNNNNNNNNNNNNNNNNNNNNNNNNNNNNNNNNNNNNNNNNNNNNNNNNNNNNNNNNNNNNNNNNNNNNNNNNNNNNNNNNNNNNNNNNNNNNNNNNNNNNNNNNNNNNNNNNNNNNNNNNNNNNNNNNNNNNNNNNNNNNNNNNNNNNNNNNNNNNNNNNNNNNNNNNNNNNNNNNNNNNNNNNNNNNNNNNNNNNNNNNNNGGGGGGGGGGGGAGGGGCGGCCGCCACGGGCCCCCGGAACCAGAGGGGCCCCCAACUCAGGUACGUGUGAGCGCCCCACCCCCAAUCUAUCGGAGACGCCACCAGAGCAGUUACAAAGUAGCUGCGGUAUGGCUCCGGGAAGAAGAAAGUCGAAACGGUAUUUCUUUUAGCUAAAUGGGCUUUGGGCCUUUGUUUCCUUUAGCUAAAUCGUGGUGUUAAGUGGUUGUGGGCUUCCUCUAAAAGAAGUAGUGGUGGGUUAUGUGUAAGAAAAAAUGAUGACGGGCCACACCAAGCUAGAGGAGGGAGAGGAGCACAUCGGUACAAAACUUAUAAAAGAAAGAAAAAAGAAGAUUGGUGAAUUCACAUGCCCACGUCUUGCCUGGUAUUACAACCCUGGCAAACUAAUAAGUUUUUCUUUUUUAUUGUAAAAUAAAUCUAUUUUUUUGCAAGUGUAGCAAACUAAUACUCUAUCUUGAUAAGAAAAAUAAACAUAUCAAAUUCAGUAUAUGUGCGGAGUCCCUAAAGAAAUGUAUCGUAGCGGAGAGACAAUAGCAACACGCACGGUGACGACGGACUGAUGACAUGAGCGUGCACUAUGGUCAUACUAUGAUAGCCAAAUAUGGAUGACUCAGUUGGUACUCUCGUCUUCAUAACUUUAUAUCAAUAAACACAAAUUGAAUUGAUUGUUCUACUUUGGUGUUAUGAAUUGAGAGUUGAUUGUUCUACUUUGGUGUUAUGAAUUGAGAGUUGAUUUUCUACUUUGGUGUGAAUAUUCAUAUGUGUCAUUUUAAUUGUUAUUUUUCUUCUUUAUAUUUUUGUAUAUAUGAACUUUUUUUUUCAUCUAUUAAGUUUUUUCAUUCAUAAAUUUAUUGUUUGCUCGGUCAUCAUGCUUGCGCGUAACUUGCCUGCAAAUGGGUAAAUGCAAUUUAGAUGAUCUUCUGUAUUCUGCUGCCUCAUUGUGACGACAAACUCUUGAUAUCAUGUGUGUCCCGGUCAGAAAUGACCCAUCACCGCCCUCAACGAGUCCUACCAAGAUGCGGUAUUGUGCACAUUAGCCCCCGCAUCGUCGUGAUCUUAUAGAACACAUGUGUCUGAUUCUCUUUCCAUAGAUAUCAUCGUUAAAGACCUUGUGUGCAAUCUUUUUGUGUGUGUGUGGUGGGGGGCUACCGGCCUUGCAUAUACAUGCAAACUACUUACUCCGUUUUUAAAUAUAAGUCUUUAAAGAGGUUUCAUGAAUGAACUACAUAUGGAUGUAUAUAGACAUAUUUUAGAGUGUAGAUUCACUUAUUUUGCUUCUAUAUGUAAACUCCUAAUGAAAUAUCUUAAAAGACUUAUAUUUAGGAACGGAGGGAGUAUAUGUUUAACAAGAUCAUUGGGCGCGGACCGCGGAGGUAGCGUAUUUCCACGAGCCAGCCGGUGACGACGAUGUAGAAGCUUCUUUCAGGGCCCCCCGUCCAUGCGCUGUGCAAGUACAAGUCUGACCGACGUGAGGCGCUGUACCAAACGAAGCGUAGCAAGUACAGCCAGAAUCAUCUGAAGCUUAGCAGCCAGCGGCCGCCGGCCGUUACCUGCAGCAUGCAUGUGACUGCACACUACGCCAAGAAGUCCGCGGCUAUAGACAACGCUCUGAAAAUAACUCUUUUGCACAGACGCGUGGAAUUCCGUGGUGGCCCGUCGGAUUUUCCCCCCGCAAAUAAAGAUCGCGCGCGCAACGUGGAACAGCUGGAUAGGGUAGCACGAGCCACGAACGGUGCAUCGUCAGCGCAUUUCCCUGCGCUGCACCCGAGCUGAGCAGCUAUAAAUUGAGCUGCAAGCCCAGCAGCUUCAUCACACAGGCGUCUUGCAUAGCUCUCCUUGCGCUAUACUACAUUUCACGAGCCGACUAGCUGAAGGUGAGUUAGCAUGGCGAGGCCUGCUGCCCUCGCGGUGUGCGCCGCCGCGCUCCUGCUCGCCGUGGCGGUGGGCGGCGCCGCGGCGCAGGGCGUGGGCUCGGUCAUCACGCGGUCGGUGUACGCGAGCAUGCUGCCCAACCGCGACAACUCGCUGUGCCCGGCCAGGGGGUUCUACACGUACGACGCCUUCAUCGCCGCAGCCAACACCUUUCCGGGCUUCGGCACCACCGGCAGCGCCGAUGACAUCAAGCGCGAGCUCGCCGCCUUCUUCGGCCAGACCUCCCACGAGACCACCGGUACGUCAGUCAGAGAGUGUUAAUUACUUGUUUUCGAUUGUUGCUUUCAACAGAAUUCGUGGAACUUUUGAUUCGGAUAUGAAGGGCUUGAUUGAAUCGUGUACGUGCUUGUGCAUGCCGUGUCGACGUGUAGGAGGGACGAGAGGCGCCGCCGACCAGUUCCAAUGGGGCUACUGCUUCAAGGAAGAGAUAAGCAAGGCCACGUCUCCACCCUACUAUGGACGGGGACCCAUCCAAUUGACAGGGUAAGCAAAAUCCCAUGUUAUGGCCUAUAUGGCUACAUGACAAUCUCUAAAGCAUCUUCCACAUGAAAAACAAGUAUAUUGGUCAACACUGAUAUCACAGACUGAAAUAAUCGGUAGAAAAAAUCUACUUGAAAAGUACAGCAGUGUAGUUGACAUUCUAGCUAGCCGCGCUAAUCCCGACCUGAUCCAAAUAAGCUUUCGCUUUCGCGUGCAAUAUACAGUUAUUAAUAACAAUAUAAAUACUACCAGGCUUCGGCGAUGAGAUUGUUCUGAUGAACCUAUAACUCUUCCUCGUGUGAUUGACCAGGCGGUCCAACUACGAUCUCGCCGGGAGAGCGAUCGGGAAGGACCUUGUGAGCAACCCGGAUCUGGUGUCCACGGACGCGGUGGUGUCCUUCAGGACGGCGAUGUGGUUCUGGAUGACGGCGCAGGGCAAC